This 417-nucleotide ribosomal RNA is filed under the name uncultured Cytophagales bacterium. Its description in RNAcentral is "bacterial SSU rRNA". It matches the Rfam family "Bacterial small subunit ribosomal RNA", at positions 1014 to 1435 of the family's 1533-position model. Lineage: Bacteria; Pseudomonadati; Bacteroidota; Sphingobacteriia; Sphingobacteriales. The record is from RNAcentral.
UUCUUCUGACAAUUUACAAGGUGCUGCAUGGUUGUCGUCAGCUCGUCCCGUGAGGUGUCGGGUUAAGUCCCAUAACGAGCGCAACCCCUAUCUUUAGUUACCAGCACGUAAUGGUGGGGACUCUAAAGAGACUGCCUGGGUAACCAGAGAGGAAGGUGGCGAUGACGUCAAAUCAGCACGGCCCUUACGUCCAGGGCUACACACGUGUUACAAUGGUCGGUACAAAGGGCAGCUACCUAGCGAUAGGAUGCUAAUCUCUAAAACCGGUCUCAGUUCGGAUCGGAGUCUGCAACUUGACUCCGUGAAGCUGGAUUCGCUAGUAAUCGCAUAUCAGCCAUGAUGCGGUGAAUACGUUCCCGGGCCUUGUACACACCGCCCGUCAAACCAUGGAAGUUGGGCUACCGGAAGUCUGUUACC